This 253-nucleotide ribosomal RNA is filed under the name uncultured bacterium. RNAcentral's name for it is "partial 16S ribosomal RNA". It matches the Rfam family "Bacterial small subunit ribosomal RNA", at positions 524 to 776 of the family's 1533-position model. The record is from RNAcentral.
UACAGAGGUCUCGAGCGUUGUUCGGAUUCAUUGGGCGUAAAGGGCGCGUAGGCGGCGGGGUAAGUCUGGUGUGAAAUCUAGGAGCUCAACUCCUAAACUGCACUGGAUACUGCUCUGCUAGAGGACUGGAGAGGAGACUGGAAUUCACGGUGUAGCAGUGAAAUGCGUAGAUAUCGUGAGGAAGACCAGUGGCGAAGGCGGGUCUCUGGACAGUUCCUGACACUGAGACACGAAGGCCAGGGGAGCAAACGGG